AGUGAACGCUGGCGGUAGGCCUAACACAUGCAAGUCGAACGGCAGCACAGUAAGAGCUUGCUCUUACGGGUGGCGAGUGGCGGACGGGUGAGGAAUACAUCGGAAUCUACUUUUUCGUGGGGGAUAACGUAGGGAAACUUACGCUAAUACCGCAUACGACCUACGGGUGAAAGCAGGGGAUCUUCGGACCUUGCGCGAUUGAAUGAGCCGAUGUCGGAUUAGCUAGUUGGCGGGGUAAAGGCCCACCAAGGCGAGGAUCCGUAGCUGGUCUGAGAGGAUGAUCGGCCACACUGGAACGGGGACACCGUCCAGACUCCUGCGGGAGGCCGCAGUGGGGAAUAGUGGACAAUGGGCGCAAGCCUGAUCCAGCCAUACCGCGUGGGUGAAGGAGGCCUUCGGGUUGUAAAGCCCUUUUGUUGGGAAAGAAAAGCAGCAGGUUAAUACCCCGCUGUUCUGACGGUACCCAAAGAAUAAGCACCGGCUAACUUCGUG
Molecule: ribosomal RNA, 492 nt
Filed under: uncultured bacterium
Lineage: Bacteria
Description: partial 16S ribosomal RNA
Rfam family: Bacterial small subunit ribosomal RNA
Source: RNAcentral